This 120-nucleotide ribosomal RNA is filed under the name Pteropus alecto (black flying fox). The record is from RNAcentral. Lineage: Eukaryota; Metazoa; Chordata; Mammalia; Chiroptera; Pteropodidae.
GUCUAUCGCCAUGCCACCCUGAACAAGCCCGAUCCAGUCUGAUCUCAGGAAGCUAAGCAGGGUCAGGCCUGGAUAGUACUUGGAUAAGAGACCACCUAGGAAGACCAGGUGCUGUAGGUG